This 253-nucleotide ribosomal RNA is filed under the name uncultured bacterium. RNAcentral describes it as "partial 16S ribosomal RNA". It matches the Rfam family "Bacterial small subunit ribosomal RNA", at positions 524 to 776 of the family's 1533-position model. The record is from RNAcentral.
GACAGAGGUGCCGAGCGUUAGGCGGAAUCACUGGGCUUAAAGCGCACGUAGGCGGCUUUGCAAGUCCCAUGUGAAAGCCCACGGCUUAACCGUGGAAGUGCAUGGGAAACUGCAGAGCUUGAGUACUUAAGAGGAUCGCGGAAUUCCCGGUGUAGAGGUGAAAUUCGUAGAUAUCGGGAGGAACACCAGUGGCGAAGGCGGCGAUCUGGGAAGAUACUGACGCUGAGGUGCGAAAGCGUGGGGAGCAAACAGG